CGUCGCUCGGUCGGGGACUCGGGCUGCAGCCUUUCUAGCAGUUAACUUCUUGAAUGUUGGGGCCUGCGCAGAAUACAAUGAUUGAGUCAGCUUGAGCCAGCAUCACUGAGGAGGCUCCUGCUCUGGAGGAGCUUCUCGCUAAUGCACCUGGGAAGGCAGAAGGUAAUGGCCAAGUACUUGCAUUUCUGCUACCCAUGUCGGAGAUCUGGAUGGAGUUCUGGACCUUUGGGGAGUAAACCAGCAGAUGGAAGAUCUCCAUCUCUUUCUCUUCCCCCUCCCCCUCUCUCUCUGUCUUCAAAUAAAUAAAGGAAAAUAAAGA
Molecule: long non-coding RNA, 319 nt
Organism: Lepus europaeus (European hare)
Lineage: Eukaryota; Metazoa; Chordata; Mammalia; Lagomorpha; Leporidae
Exons: 3
Source: RefSeq, a predicted model, not a curated record